AGGGCCCAACGGGUGGCUUGGGAGUAUUUCUGUCUCGGAAAAGCAAAUCUACUGGGUAAACCUCGAGAAGAAGUCCUCUCUGGAAUGAAGCUGUGCCUCUGGGUGAGACGGACCUAAAUUGAGCAAUGUGUGAGACCUGGUGGAGCCACAAGAUGGAAGGAAAUGGGUCCCUGAAUGACUGCAUGGAAGCCAUCUACCAAGUAGGAACAUGGACAAUGAACUUUGCAGGAGUGUGAGGCCCUGGGAGGAUCCUUUCCUGCCAGUUGACCUCCGUCAAGUCCACCUCCACCCAGCAGAGAGGUUCUAGCAGUGGAACCUACAAAGAGAAGGGUUCAGCCCCUCCAAUUCCCCCUUCCAGUGGUCUCCUCUGCUUUUAAGCAAAAUUGAAAGGGGCUGAAGAGGAGUGGUCUUUCCUAAGCCAAGAAACUGUCCUACUGAGCCUUUCCUCCUGAGCAGUGGGGCUCUUCUCAUCCUGCAUCCACAACCAAAAGGGGCCUUUGAAGAAUUCUUCCAAGAACAAAACGAUUUCCUGGAAAACGACUUGCUCUCUUCCCCAUUAGAGAUAUAGUUGGCAACUCCAUAGCAGCCUCCCUUGCAAAAUGAAAAUCAUUAAGUUCUGCGCUCUGAGAUGCGUGCAAAGCGCCAGGCACUGUUAUCCGUGAUAGUAAGGUGAAGACUUUUAGGCCCAGAGCAGUUGAGUAACUUGUCCAAGGUCACACAGCUGAUACAAGGCAGAACUAGGGUUAGCUCCCGGGCUUUU
Myotis daubentonii (Daubenton's bat) is the source of this 760-nucleotide long non-coding RNA. RefSeq lists it as uncharacterized. The record is from RefSeq and is a predicted model, not a curated record. Lineage: Eukaryota; Metazoa; Chordata; Mammalia; Chiroptera; Vespertilionidae.